Molecule: ribosomal RNA, 403 nt
Filed under: uncultured bacterium
Lineage: Bacteria
Description: partial 16S ribosomal RNA
Rfam family: Bacterial small subunit ribosomal RNA
Source: RNAcentral
GACGAACGCUGGCGGCAGGCCUAACACAUGCAAGUCGAGCGAGCGGCGGACGGGUGUGUAAUGUAUGGGGACUGCCCGAUAGAGGGGGAUAACUACUGGAAACGGUGGCUAAUACCGCAUACUAUCGGAUAACCCAUAUGGGAUUAGCUAGUAGGUGGGGUAAAGGGUCACCUAGGCGACGAGCUCUAGCGGGUCUGAGAGUAUGAUCGGCCACACUGGGACUUAGACACGGCCCAGACUCCUACGGAGGCAGCAGUGGGGAAUAUGGCACAAUGGGCGCAAGCCUGAUGCAGCCUUGCCGCGUGUAUGAAGAAGGCCUUAGGGUUGUAAAGUACUUUCAGCGGGGAGGCGUUACCCGCAGAAGAAGCACCGGCUAACUCCGUGCCAGCAGCCGCGGUAAUUC